UACGAGGGGGGCUAGCGUUACUCGGAUUGACUGGGCGUAAAGGGCGCGUAGGCGGUUCGUACAGUCAGACGUGAAAUUCCUGGGCUCAACCUGGGGGCUGCGUUUGAUACGUGCGGGCUUGAGUUCGGAAGAGGGUCGUGGAAUUCCCAGUGUAGAGGUGAAAUUCGUAGAUAUUGGGAAGAACACCGGUGGCGAAGGCGGCGACCUGGUCCGAUACUGACGCUGAGGCGCGAAAGCGUGGGGAGCAAACAGG
Molecule: ribosomal RNA, 253 nt
Filed under: uncultured bacterium
Lineage: Bacteria
Description: partial 16S ribosomal RNA
Rfam family: Bacterial small subunit ribosomal RNA
Source: RNAcentral